CUGACAGUUUGAAACAAAAAGCUUCCACUCUGGUAUAUAUCUAUAUCAAUAUAUAAGCUGUAUCAGGAUGAAGAUUGCAAAAGUAAACAUUACAGCCAUACUGCUUAUGUGCAUAUCAUACGCGCAUGCCAAGUGUCGCUGCCAGCAAAUUACCACGGUGGUCAAUGGACAAAAUGUGUGUUCGUGCAACCCAGGCUUUAUCGUCAACCCAGCUAAUCC
This is a long non-coding RNA of Physella acuta, 219 nucleotides long. RefSeq lists it as uncharacterized. The record is from RefSeq and is a predicted model, not a curated record. NCBI's taxonomy places the organism in Eukaryota, Metazoa, Mollusca, Gastropoda, Physidae.